GAUGAACGCUAGCUACAGGCUUAACACAUGCAAGUCGAGGGGAAACGACAUCGAAAGCUUGCUUUUGAUGGGCGUCGACCGGCGCACGGGUGAGUAACGCGUAUCCAACCUGCCCACCACUUGGGGAUAACCUUGCGAAAGUAAGACUAAUACCCGAUGAUAUCUCUAGAAGACAUCUGAAAGGGAUUAAAGAUUUAUCGGUGAUGGAUGGGGAUGCGUCUGAUUAGCUUGUUGGCGGGGUAACGGCCCACCAAGGCUACGAUCAGUAGGGGUUCUGAGAGGAAGGUCCCCCACACCGGUACUGAGACACGGACCAGACUCCUACGGGAGGCAGCAGUGAGGAAUAUUGGUCAAUGGGCGAGAGCCUGAACCAGCCAAGUCGCGUGAGGGAAGACGGUCCUACGGAUUGUAAACCUCUUUUGUCGGGGAGUAAUAGGCGGGACGUGUCCUGCUGNGAGAGUACCCGAGAAAAGCAUCGGCUAACUCCGUGCCAG
This 494-nucleotide ribosomal RNA is filed under the name uncultured bacterium. RNAcentral's name for it is "bacterial SSU rRNA". It matches the Rfam family "Bacterial small subunit ribosomal RNA", at positions 28 to 511 of the family's 1533-position model. The record is from RNAcentral.